CCUACGGGCGGCAGCAGUAGGGAAUCUUUCACAAUGGGCGAAAGCCUGAUGGAGCAACGCCGCGUGCAGGAUGAAGGCCUUCGGGUUGUAAACUGCUUUUAUCAGCGAGAAAUAUGAUGGUAACUUAUGAAUAAGGAUCGGCUAACUACGUGCCAGCAGCCGCGGUCAUACGUAGGAUCCGAGCAUUAUCCGGAGUGACUGGGUGUAAAGAGUUGCGUAGGUGGGAUAAUAAGUAGCUAGUGAAAUCUGGUGGCUCAACCAUUCAGACUAUUAGCUAAACUGUUAAGCUCGAGACCGUUAGGGGCAGCUGGAAUGUCUAGUGUAGGAGUGAAAUCCGUAGAUAUUAGAAGGAACACCAAUAGCGAAGGCAGGAUGCUGGGACGGUUCUGACACUAAGGCACGAAAGCGUAGGGAGCAAACGGGAUUAGAUACCCCAGUAGUC
This 442-nucleotide ribosomal RNA is filed under the name uncultured bacterium. RNAcentral's name for it is "partial 16S ribosomal RNA". It matches the Rfam family "Bacterial small subunit ribosomal RNA", at positions 338 to 795 of the family's 1533-position model. The record is from RNAcentral.